RNAcentral lists this ribosomal RNA (497 nucleotides) under uncultured bacterium. RNAcentral describes it as "partial 16S ribosomal RNA". It matches the Rfam family "Bacterial small subunit ribosomal RNA", at positions 28 to 507 of the family's 1533-position model. The record is from RNAcentral.
GAUGAACGCUGGCGGCGUGCCUAAUACAUGCGAGUCGAGCGAACGGACGAGAAGCUUGCUUCUCUGAUGUUAGCGGCGGGCGGGUGAGUAACACGUGGAUAACCUACCUAUAAGACUGGGAUAACUUCGGGAAACCGUAGCUAAUACCGGAUAAUAUUUUGAACCGCAUGGUUCAAAAGUGAAAGACGGUCUUGCUGUCACUUAUAGAUGGAUCCGCGCUGCAUUAGCUAGUUGGUAAGGUAACGGCUUACCAAGGCAACGAUGCAUAGCCGACCUGAGAGGGUGAUCGGCCACACUGGAACUGAGACACGGUCCAGACUCCUACGGGAGGCAGCAGUAGGGAAUCUUCCGCAAUGGGCGAAAGCCUGACGGAGCAACGCCGCGUGAGUGAUGAAGGUCUUCGGAUCGUAAAACUCUGUUAUUAGGGAAGAACAUAUGUGUAAGUAACUGUGCACAUCUUGACGGUACCUAAUCAGAAAGCCACGGCUAACUACGUG